AAUAGAUACCCGGGUAGUCCACGCCGUAAACGAUGAGUGCUAAGUGUUAGGGGGUUUCCGCCCCUUAGUGCUGCAGCUAACGCAUUAAGCACUCCGCCUGGGGAGUACGGCCGCAAGGCUGAAACUCAAAGGAAUUGACGGGGGCCCGCACAAGCGGUGGAGCAUGUGGUUUAAUUCGAAGCAACGCGAAGAACCUUACCAGGUCUUGACAUCCUCUGACAACUCUAGAGAUAGAGCGUUCCCCUUCGGGGGACAGAGUGACAGGUGGUGCAUGGUUGUCGUCAGCUCGUGUCGUGAGAUGUUGGGUUAAGUCCCGCAACGAGCGCAACCCUUGAUCUUAGUUGCCAGCAUUCAGUUGGGCACUCUAAGGUGACUGCCGGUGACAAACCGGAGGAAGGUGGGGAUGACGUCAAAUCAUCAUGCCCCUUAUGACCUGGGCUACACACGUGCUACAAUGGACGGUACAAAGAGUCGCAAGACCGCGAGGUGGAGCUAAUCUCAUAAAACCCGUUCUCAGUUCGGAUUGC
This 527-nucleotide ribosomal RNA is filed under the name uncultured bacterium. Its description in RNAcentral is "bacterial SSU rRNA". It matches the Rfam family "Bacterial small subunit ribosomal RNA", at positions 777 to 1301 of the family's 1533-position model. The record is from RNAcentral.